GAUUUCAGGUACAUUUCUGCUUAACAUGCCAGAAAAAUUGGACAACCAGGUCAAUUUGUGGAACUCGCUGAAUUGGUACAAUACAGUCUUCCAGCUGAUUAAGUCAGCCUGAAGUACAACACGUACAACAGCAGCAUUCAGUAAACAAGAUGCUGCUCUGAAGAAAAAAGACAGACUGCGUUUCUUUAACUUGACGGUUUCUUGCUGCACAUUUUAAAUAAAACUUAAACAGAUAGGCCUUUGGGGAUCCUCCUCUCCUUUGAUAUAACGUCAAGGGAUCAGGUCAUCCAACAGAUAAUAAUGGUGAAAGGCAGGAACACAAUGGAGAAUCAAGAUAGAUUUUGCACCUUGAUCAAAUCAAUGUGGGCACCAACUCCAUGAGAAAUUGCUGACCUUCUGCCCUCUGACAUUCAGAUCAGUUCUGCGCUCUACAACACAGAAAUCAGAGAGGGCUGGAAGUCAGGUACCCGUACAUCGGAGCUACUGCUUUGCCUCAGGACUUGUAUUGAGAAAUAUAUCUGACAUAACCACUAUAUAUACCUGAAAUAUAAUCACCAUGUAUUAGCUAUUUACUAUACUAUGUAAUUACUUCCAGGUACUGAAUAUUAGUAUGUAUUAUUUUACUAGACACAUUUUGUUAUGUGUUGUUUUCACUAGAUACUUUGUACUCUCUUAGCUGCAUAUUAUGGCACUUACAGGACACCUGUUUGUUUAGCAGCACUAUUAGCUGAGAUGUAUCCCAUGUAUUACACUCAGCCUUUGUUUAGUAUGAGAUAACGGUGGCGGACAGGAUGCUGCGAGCAGAAUGUAAUGUGAGGGAGGUUGUCUGGAAAACAUAAUCUUGGCCACGAAUAAGGUCCCAAUGCGAACGGGUGAAAAAUAAUGGUGACGCACCGAGAGCUGGGCAAGAGCGAUUGAUUAGUUAAUAUAUAGAUGAUAUGCAAUUAUCAAUUGAUUGGGUAUGCUGAUGAAACCGGAAUGUAACUGAGAUAAGAAAUUACUAUAAAGAAUGCUGUACACUGGAGCUCGGUGGGCUUUCGGUGACGUUCAUUGAUUGCCUCAGCCUUUGUUUGCAAAUAAAGGUUUAAACUUCUCGAAGAAUUGUCUGCGUCUCCAGGUCAUUUCAAGUAACCACCACAAAAUUGGCGACUGCAGCAGGACCGGGAAGAGACCCGAGGAAAAGAUUCGGUGGGUUGAGGCCACUUCCCGGUCCCUCGGGAGCCCUCACUGAGCUAACAGAAUUAUGGGUGCACCCAGAAAAAAGAUAAGCGCUUUUUGCGACAAUUUGGAUUGAAAUUCUGUUGGUUUUGGGGGUCUCGGGGACUCAGAAGUGUGUAGCAACUGCCGAAGGAUCUCUCCGAUCCAACAAAUCUGGCAGAAUUGAGGGUUUGACAGGAGGCUCAGAGGAUUGAUCGAGAACACUGCAGUGGGGGUAAGUAUGAAUAAGGUAACAAGAAGUUGAGUAAAGAAAAAUCCAUGUGGUGUUGGUAAAUCCCUGUGGGUACCACUUCACACAAAGCGAAGGGCUGAACGGGCAGGGUAAGGAAUAAUAGAGUAAAUCCCUGUGGAUACCGCUUCGGACAAAGCGAAGGGCUGAAUGGGUAGGGUAAGGAAUAAUAGAGUAAAUCUCUGUGGAUACCACUUCGGACAAAGCGAAGGGCUGAACGGGCAGGGAGAGUGAAGAGAAACUUCUGUGAGUACUGCCCUAGGUUGAGGGCUGCUCAGACAGAACGGAACAGAAGGUAAGAAGAAUUUGAUAAAUUGCUUAAACACUGGUAGAAUAAACUGUAGGGCUAGGCGUGGAGAUAGGAUCGGGGAGGUAUUUGAACUGUGAGAUUUUUUUUUAAAGAAAUAAUACCUAAGAGAAGAAGAGAAUAACAUGGUGGAAGAAAAAGGAACAGCAGUAGACAUACGGUGCAAGAAAUUCCCAGUAAGUAGAGGUGAGAUUAUUGCAAUUUCAGAGAAAUGGGAAAAGAGAGCCAAAAACCGGUGCACAAAAUGGCCAAAAGAAGUGACAUUCGAUGUAAGCUUGUGUGAAGAGAUGGAAGCACUAAUUAAAAAUCAUAAACCAAACAAUAAGUCCAAGAAAAGGGAGGAAAGGAGAGAGCAGGAGAUAGAAGUAUUGAAACUUUAUAGGAUGAAGGGAGAAAGAUUGAGAAAGACAGGCAGGAUAUUGAUAAUAAACGAAAAAGACAAAAGGGAACCGGAAAAACAGGAGGAAAAACCUAACAGAAGCCCGGCUUCAGCUCUAUACCCGCAUCUGAAAGAACUAGAAAGACACCCUCCCUAUUAUGAGCAGGGAACACCCAAGCAAUGCCCCAUAAUAUCAGGAACAAUGAGCCUGCAGGGGGAAGUAGAGGUCUGGGACCAUGAGGAGGAAAGAAGGAAAUAUGAGAAGGUGAGAGAGGUGCUGAGGAAUGAGAUAGAGGGAGAAAAGAUAAGAUAGAACAGGAAAGAAGGGAGAUGGAAAGAAAAGUGGAAAGGCUACAGAAGCAGAGAGAGAAGUGGGAUUAUGAGGAGUAUCGGUUAUACUGUAGAGACAGACAGACUAGAAGAGAACAGGAAUCAUCUAGACGGCAAGAACGGAGUGAGUUGAGAGGAAGUUAGAGGAAGGUAGGAGACGAGAGUUUGGGGGAAGUACGAGAGAGGACGGAGAGGCAGAUAUUGGCGAUGGAAGAGGGGACUAGAGUGGAGAAGGAGCAAGGAAGAAGGUAUACCCCAGGAAGGUAUGAGUGGCAGCCAGUAGUACUAGGGCCAGCAAUAGAUAAAGAACCAAGUGAGGAAGGAAGCUUGAUUACAUGGAACGGGGAGAAGGAAAUGCUGCCAUUGCUGGUAAAGGAUCAGGACAAGUACAGUAUAUCCCUUGGGGAUUCCAGGACCUGGAAGGGCUGAAAAAUACUCUGCCUAGUCUGCACGAGGGGGCAGGAAAGUGGAUUAGAGCCUUUUGAGGAGGAAACAACGGGACGAUUGUUGGCUAUGGGAGAUUUGAAGGCACUGCUGAUAAGGUUGAUGGGAACUUCCAAGCUGAAAGAACUGAUGGAAAUGGCUGGCUUACAGAAUGUGGACAGCCCACAGACUGAUGGGGCCAAUUUUGAUCCAGUGAGACAGAGGGUAUGGCAGAGCCUCAGGAAGCUUUAUCCACCCAGAGUAGACCCCAAAGCCUUAAAGGGGGAACUACUGGGAGACACUGAAAACCCAGCAGCCUAUGUAGAAAACCAGUUGAAAAGAUGGAGACUGGAGACUGAGCAAGAGGUGGAAAAUAGCUUGUUUCUGAACUCACUGUUCUGUCAGAGCAUUUUGGAUGCAAUGCCUCCGCAGGUCAAGUCUAAAUUGGAGGAAGUGGUUGGGCUGUCAUCACUGACACUGAAUGAUCACUGAGCAUUCAGUGAUCACGUAGUCCACGCGGUGGAGAAAUAUCGGAGAGACAAACGAAAGCUGCUGAGCAGCAAGAAGAGGUGCAGCGAAAGCUAUUGCAAAUGCAGCUCGAAGAACUGAAAAAGGACAAAGAAAAAAAGCAAAAAGAUGCUGCCAGCCGUCACUAGUGUGAGUACAGCCAUUACACCAUUAGAUGGAGGAACCAGGCAUUCUGUCAGUCAAGGGCCAGAAAACCCCAUGCCAAUAAUGAAUGUCUUCGGAGGAGCAUUUCCACAGAUGCCCUAUCAGGGACAGAGUAGAGUUAAGCAACAGCCCAGACAGGACUGGAAGUCCCAAGGAGGGGGGUAGAGGAGUUAUGGGCAGACUGGUUAGAAAGCAAACUAGGGGGAUGGGGUGCGUGGCUGACUAAAUUGGCAAUGACUGCAGGCAUUGUGCUGAUAAGUUGUGCAUUUAUUCUGUGCUGUUUUCUUCCAUGUCUCAAGACUUUGAUAAUGCGUGCGACAGCAAAACAAUUCCCGAUGCUCCUGGAAAUUGUUGAAUCUGGCCCUAGACAAGGAGAAAAGCCGAUGAUGUACUGUUACAGUCUGCACGAUGCACCAAGCGGACUGGAAGGUGUUAAUGAUGUGGACACUAGUCUGUAAGAGUGUCUGAGUCUUUUUUCCUGUCUCAGCUACGGAGGGACAGGUUUUUGGCUCAGCAGCCUAGGAUAACAGAGAGAGAUCAUUUUGAGCUCUGAGUAUGGAAAUUGUAGUUGACCCAAAUUUGGGAUAAAAAUGCUGGACUUUAUUUUGGCGUUGGUGCACGGCCUCUGAGAGUUCUCUUCCUGUGUGAGACCCUGUGGGUCUCAAAGGGGGGAUUAUAUUGAGAAAUAUACCUGACAUAACCACUCAUAACCACUAUAUAUAUACCUGAAAUAUAAUCACUAUGUAUUAGCUAUUUACUAUACUAUGUUAUCACUUCUAGGUACUGAAUAUCAGUAUGUAUUAUUUUACUAGACACGUUUUGUUAUUUGUUGUUUUCACUAGAUACUUUGUACUCUCUUAGCUGCAUAUUAUGGCACUUACAGGACACCUGUUUGUUUAGCAGUACUAUUAGCUGAGAUGUAUCCCAUGUAUUACACUCAGCCUUUGUUUAGUAUGAGAUAACGGUGGCGGACAGGAUGCUGCGAGCAGAAUGUAAUGUGAGGGAGGUUGUCUGGAAAACAUAAUCUUGGCCACGAAUAAGGUCCCAAUGCGAAUGGGUGAAAAAUAAUGGUGACGCACCGAGGGCUGGGCAAGAGCGAUUGAUUAGUUAAUAUAUAGAUGAUAUGCAAUUAUAAAUUGAUUGGGUAUGCUGAUGAAACCGAAAUGUAACUGAGAUAAGAAAUUACUAUAAAGAAUGCUGUACACCGGAGCUCGGCGGGCUUUUGGUGACAAGUUCAUUGAUUGCCUCAGCCUUUGUUUGCAAAUAAAGGUUUAAA
Molecule: long non-coding RNA, 4834 nt
Organism: Hypanus sabinus (Atlantic stingray)
Lineage: Eukaryota; Metazoa; Chordata; Chondrichthyes; Myliobatiformes; Dasyatidae
Exons: 3
Source: RefSeq, a predicted model, not a curated record